ACCCCACCCAGCCCCGCCGCUCUCCUCUCUGUCUUCCCCUUUCACCCAACCCCGCCGCCGAUCUCCUCUUCCCCAGCCCCUCGCCGGCGACCUCCUCCCCACCAGCCACCCCGGCGUCCUCCUUCUCUCCUUCUUUCCAGCAGCUCCGCCGGCGACCCCCAACCACAACCCCGCCGCUGCCCCAACCCCAACCCCAUCGCCGGCGGCCUCCUCUCCCUCCAGCGCCGCCGGCCAUCAGGCCAUGGCCUCCCCGCUCUCUCCCGGCCCGUCCCCAAGAGCCGCUGCUGCCGCCGCCCCCACCCUCUCACCUCCCUCACGAGAAGAGAAGAGAUGGCAAGAUGGGGAUCGAGGGAGCGCCCGCAGCUGCAGGCACCAGAUCCGCCUUGGACCAGGAGCUCCAUCCCCAGUUGCCCACUCAAAAUCGCGAGCGGCCAUGCGUGAGUGAGGAGGCGGCCGCCAGAUCGAGGGAUUCGCUCCGUCAUCUCGCGCGCCAGGAGAGGAACCCCCAUCUGCUCCUGCUCCUGCUCGGCCGCCUCGCGCGCGCCAUGGGGAUCUGCUUCUGCUCGCUCCGGACGCCACUGCGCCGACCCAACCCUAGUGCUCCUCCUCCAGGUCAAGGUCAAGGUACCUCUGCUAAUUGAAGCCUGAUGCUCCUCUCCUCUCCUCCCCUCUCCUCUCAUGGAUGAUGGACCAGACCUCUGCCUGGUACUCAUCGUCCCCGCGCCUCUGUUUCUGGGCUGGGUAAGCCCCUCCCCCUCCGCUCUGCUCUCACUCUCAUGUGCCACGGCCAUCUGUAUGCACACACUUCAAGUAGGCAAGCAAGCAGCUACCAAAAAACUGAAAAUAAAGCUCCUUGCAGCAGUGGUUUACCAAAAUGAAAACCAUAAUAACAUAAAAUUACAAACAUCAAGCUGUCCAUGAUUAGACACUCAUUUACAGUACCUGAGUGUUGCCGCAGAUCCGUACGCCGAUCACUUUCCGGCGUACUUUGUAUGGUGCGAUUCCGGCGACCAGUGCUUUCGGCCGUCGGCAACAUGUAUUCAUACGUAGCUUGGUUCCGUAGAGACACGCAAGUGUGCAAGGCGAAAGCAUCUGGAUCGAUUCCUCCUUGAAGCUGACUCACGUAUAAUAGCAGUCAAUCGCCUCGCCGACUGGACGUGCACGCACGUAUACUAAUACGAGCUCUUGGCUGUUUGAGUCUAUUCUGCAGCAGACGCUCCUGAGACAGUCUACUGGACUAAGCUACAGGAUACAUAAGCAUGCAGGUCAUAAACGGAUAGCAUACAUUAUCUAGUUUGAUUGAUUGAUGAUGCACUUAAUUUCGCUGAAGUUUGAGGGAGUAGUUGUUGUACUGCAGGUGCUGCUGCAGUAGAAGGAUUGCAAUUUUCUCCGUGAUUCUUUCUUGUCAGUGCCGAGCAACAGUUUCAUCUUUACUUUUCAGUCAUACUCAUGCGUGCUCCGUUCAUGUGCAUAUGUUUACUUUGUGGUGACUGACAGGGAGCGCACCUUUGGUUACCAAUCACUGCACAACCAGUGUGUGCAUUAUUUGAGGGCCCCAAAACUCCUUCUAUGUGAAAUAUUGUCUCUUAGGUACCAAUUUCAAACAUAUAUUGUUGACCAGGUUGAAAUUCCUUCUGGUAGAGGUAGACCACCAGUUUUUGUUGGCAAGGAUGAGAGUCUUGCAAAGGCACCUGAGCUAUUUACAGAAGGAGAGGACCUGGCCUUCUUCUUUAUGUCUCGCGGAAGUGUCUUCCUUUGAUUCAUUCGUGCAACAAGGAAGGGACCCGGCCUUCUUCGUCUCGUGCAACAACCUGGUGGGCGUCAUGCUCUUCAACCACUCAGAGGUGGACUUCGCCGUGAAGCCCGGCGACCGCGCCGCACGGAUGAUCAUCCAUGUGAUUCCGACACCGGAUGUCGCCGAGGUGGAGGACCUUGAUGCCAUCGUUCGGGGUGAGGGAGGAUUCGGGUUCGCCGGCGUCUGAACUCCGAGCCUUGGUAGAUACAUGUAGAGAAGUGGUCUGUUUAGGCUGGUGGUGAAACACUAGGGAAGGUACCCACCUUUGGUUGUGUGCGUUUAAUUCAUUUUGCACUGGACGCGUCCCUGAUUUCUAUCUAUGAAUAAUGCAUGUAAUAUUUUUUAA
This is a non-coding RNA of Aegilops tauschii subsp. strangulata, 2141 nucleotides long. The record is from RefSeq and is a predicted model, not a curated record. NCBI's taxonomy places the organism in Eukaryota, Viridiplantae, Streptophyta, Magnoliopsida, Poales, Poaceae.